Non-coding RNA from Pseudonaja textilis, 4572 nucleotides. NCBI's taxonomy places the organism in Eukaryota, Metazoa, Chordata, Lepidosauria, Squamata, Elapidae. The record is from RefSeq and is a predicted model, not a curated record.
UAUAUAUAUAUAUAUAUAUAUAUUAUAAAUAUAUAAUAUUAUAUUUAUGACUGUCUUUCUGGGUUAAAGCACGCUUUGUGGGGCUGACAGGGGAAAUGUAAGUUGCCAAUCCAUGUUUAUGCCUGGUUAUGUAUCGCCCUCUUGAAUGAUCACCCUCACUCUUUUGCGCAUACAAUGCCCAGGUCUGUUACAGUGCAAGGUAGGAUGGAGGCUCAGGAAUUCUGGGAGUGGAAGUCCACAGGCCAUAAAGUUGCCAUAGUUUUCUGCUCUUAGCAGUGUGGCGUUGCCUUGCCCUCCUUCCCGUUGGCCCUUUCAAGCUUGGGUUGUCUCUCGCAAACCACCACACACCCCAAAGUACAUCAGGUGUAGGUGUAACGGCUGGUUGCGGCCUUGUCUUUCCAACCAUCAACUCUUAGGAACAAUACGCAUUUCAUGCUCCACCAGUGGUGAUUUUGCAAGGUCACUCAACUUCCCUCUGGUUUCCAGGUGUCUUUGGCCACUGCUGCAUCCAAAAAAAGAGGAAAUAGUGGAUGGAUAGAAGUUUUGGGAUAAGUGAUCAGAGGUGAAACCAAAUUAAGGUGUUGCAUGGGUUUGGUUGAAAAAGAGGAGAAACCCAAGUGGUGGUUGAUACUGGCUUAAUCCAACUGUAGUCCAACAUGGAAAUUCUGUGUUAGCACUGAUUAAACCAAAAAAACAAAAUAUGGCAGCAGAUGAAGGUUUGUUCUGGGUUGGAAAUAUUGAUUCCUCUCUUUUAAAAAAAUAAUAUUUUUUUGGCUAGGGGGUUUGUGUUUGAGUAAGAACAAAGAAUUAAAAUAUAAACUUCUAGAUUGUAACUGGAGAUAAAAGUUACGUUUGUAGUGCUUUCUUUCCUUUGUUGCUUGUAUAGCGUCAGUCCCAACCACCUUUUCACCUCCCUCCAUAGUUAACUCUUUCCCGCCUUUUUUGAGGAAAAAAAAAGAGAAAGAAAAAAGAAAAAAAAGUAUUCUAUGUAGGAUUCUUUUUAUUUAUUUUAUUUUUUUGUGCUCUCAGUUAAAAUCACUGUAGAAGUGCCCCAUAAUACAUUUUAAAUACUGAAAUAAGGGUUUGUUUUGCUUUGUUUUUCUGAGUUACAACGGGACAGUUUUUAUUUCAUUUUCAAACAUUUUAUCUACCUCACUCUUUUUUUGUGUGUAUAUAUAAAAAUAUACAUCUCACAUUUUCUCAGCAGCCGACAAUAUACUGUUGAAUACUGGCGACCUCAUUUGUUAUACAAACCACAUCCUCCAGGUUUUUAGAGAAGGAGGUCACUGCUGAACACACAUGCACACCUACACACACACACACACAAAUCCCUUGGAGAAGAAAGUUGUUACGGCUGUACACUCACAAAUGCUUUUGUCUCUGUGGUAUGUUGCGGAUUGAAAGCAGUUUUCACUUGGUUUUGAGUAAAAAUGAAAAGCUGCUGUCCCUCUAGUUCAGAGGUCUCUAAACUUGGCAACUUUAAGACUUGUGGACUUCAACUCCUAGAAUUCUCCAGCCAGUUGGCUGGAGAAUUCUAGGAGUUGAAGUCCACAAGUCUUAAAGUUGCCAAGUUUGGGGACCCCUGCUCUAGUUAAAAAGAACGGGGAGGUGAAAAUUCCCAGGGGCACCAUUUGGUGGAGUUAAAACAGAUUAUCUGCUGGGAUGAAGUAGGGUUUAAAAAUGGGGAGCUUUUAACAGGUUGGUUAGGUUCUAGUUACAUGUCAAAUGUGGACAUGGAGAAGGAGGGCUAAUCCUUUUGAAGGUCUCCAGGUGCUUCCAAAACCCUGAAAGAGGUGUUGGAACCAAGUGAUAGCUACCUAAACGUACAGUAGAUCUAUAUUUCUCUGGAAUAUCAGCAAAGUGGAGUUCCCCCAAACCAACUUUUAGGAGUGACCUGGUGGGAACAUAAAGACACGGUGUGUGUUUGUAGCUGAAAAAAAUGUCGACUGUUUGGAUUGUUUCCCCUGAACCUUCAAACCAGGGGUCCCCAAACUUGGCAACUAUAAGACUUGUGGACUUCAAUUCCCUAAAUCCUUAAAGUUGCCAAGUUUGGAGAUCUUUGCUCCAAACAAUGUUUUGCAGUCGUGGAAACCGUCAGGUGACGAGUCCUGGGCUUCACUGAUCUGCCAGUAAGAUGGCGGUUCUCCUUUCUGGCCACCGUUCAUAGCCACAGAGCUUGAAAUCCUCUUAUCCAGUUUGUGGUCAUCCAGCUGGGUUGAAUCUGGAUUCUCCACCUGAAUUUGGGGUGUGCGUUCUUAGCACACCUGGAGACUCCAAGUUGAAGGAUGACUUGCUUGCUGCAUCCGAAUUGUGUCAUGCUCAACUAGAUGAUACAAAACUUAAUUGUGUCAAUGUCCACUAGUUGGCCUCUAGAGAGAUGAAAGUCAUCUAAGGCCAUUUUUGUUUCUAAAAUGGGUUUUGGUAAGGAGCAGAUCCUGGCUAUCCUUUGCUUGAAGCCCUUCUGUUUUUUCAAGUGAUUGUGUUUGUGUAUGUGAGUUUAGUGGUGGCCUCUCCUCUCUUGCACAUACUAAUCUCCUGUUUAGAUCUUCAGAUCUUUCAACUGGUUUCAGAUGAUUUUCCCCCCUCUAAACUGUCCAUGUUAUUACUUUUAGUUGUAUUGUAGGUGGCUUAAAAUAUCAGGAGAGAAAACUAACCUUACAAUGCCCAUCAGGACAUACAUUUCAUAAGCAUUCAGAAAUAGGGCAGUUGUGUAAUUAAAUAAGUAGGCCUAUGUCACAGGUGAGCUCACCUCAAAUCAAAUCACCUCAAUUCUACCAUAGUGUUCUGCAUUCAUAUUCUUAAAUACUCAUGUUGGUUUCCACAUAUAUUUUUUUGUUUUGUUAUUGCAAUCUUUUGGUGUGUUGCCCCGAUAAUAUUAUCUAUGCCUUUUUUUUCCUUCAUACCAUCUUUCGGUUGAUAGUGAACCCAUGUGGUCUAUGCAUUUCCCAUCCCCACCCCACCCCAAAAAUGUGUUGGCUUGAUAUUGGGCACAAGGCUGCAAUUUUCUGCAGGGUUUAUAAGAGAUGGAGAAUUUAGUUUAGUUUCUGGAUGGGUUUGGAUUGAAAUGAUACAAUCUCAGUUGCUGGAUGUCAUGAUCAAAGCGUAGAACUGAAUUGGCUUCACCAAGGAGACCGGAAAGUUAGACCACUUGUCCCAUUCAUGCACGAAAGUCUGAAAAGAGCUUUUCUAAGCCCAUCCUUUCUAAAUUCUUAAUUCAAAUUAUGUCCCCACUCUAUCCCAGAUCUCCCAGUACUUGGAUGUAUCACCAUUUCCAGUUUGCAAUGAACAAGCAGUGCUUGCUGGUACACCUGUUGCGCAAAUCUAGAAGGCUUAGCUUGAAUGGCACAGCUGGUGCAGGAAAUUGUAGUUCCAACACAACUGAAGGAGGGACUUCCCUGGUUUAAGCCAUUGGUUCUCCGCAAACCACUUUCCAUAGCAGGACUCAACCUAGGGGCUUGGAUGUGUUACUAUUCGAUCGCACAAGGUGAUCUUGAGGCAUUACGGUAGAAUGUGGUCUUUCCUGCCAUAUUCUCUACGGCAUCCCUAUGAAAUCAAUUCAAGACUGCUUCGGACUUUUCACUUCUCAUUAAGGAAGGAUCCAGCUCUGCGUGGAUUGCCUAUUUUUACACCUUUGCAUAUAAUACUCUGGAGAUAGGGCAGCAGAGGGUAACCAAUGGUUGUCCUGGCUAGGGAUUAUGGGUGUCUCAAAACCGGAAGAUUUUUGGAAGGCUGGAUUAGACAGUACUAUAUCUGCAAUUUUACUUCCAGUCCCCUUUGCUUUGGAAUUAUCAAUAGCUGGAUAGUUGCCUUCCAGUCAUCCUGUAAGGAGGUCAAUGAACAUGUAUCGUGCUUGUUUUUUAGAGCCUUUGCACGGAUGCUACCCAAUGGUGUUUGUUAAAUUGUAAUGGUGCUGCAUUUUUUUUUUAAAAAAAACCCCACAAUUCAGUUUUAAUUUUUGAGAUGGGUUUUCCUUCAGCGAACGGCCUGAGUCCCUUGGUUACUCUGUGAUGUGCAGAACAUGGUUUGGGUUCAGAGUGAGGGCUUCUGUGUCAAAAUAGAACUGCUACCCGCCGCUGGUUUAAUUUUUGAUGUCAGUAAUGCCACCCGAAGCAGAGCCUUCGAGAAAGCUGGUUCCCACUUUAGCUUCCUCCUCUGCAUCUCCACAUAACGUGAAGAGUUUAAGUUGGUUAGCAUCGACGGGCCAGUUUGAUGCUCCAAAGGCAGUUGAUCCCAGAACUGGUUGGAAAGUGGAUCUGCUGCUUAGAUCUCUGGGAAAUACGGAGGGUUGUUUAGUACAAUCUGCUGGGUAUCUGAAUGACACUCCUGUUGUUGGUAUAAUGUUUGAUAUAGUUAUAUUUUUAAAUGAAAUUUCAUUCCAGUAGUUGGUGACAUUUCAUUGUGACUUUUAUUUAAGUUCGUCCAAGAUGUUUUCCUGUUGUCUAUUCAGGUAAUUUGUUCAUAUAUCUUCUGGCUGAGGGGUCGGCAAUUAUUUCAGGCACCAUAAACGCCCACUCCUUCCCCAUUUUUAAAAAGUUACGUUUGACAACUUUGCCCAAAUCCCAUACAAGAUCA